AACAUCGCGCACCUGCGGGAACCUGCGGAAGGAUCAUUACCGAGUUUACAACUCCCAAACCCCUGUGAACAUACCUAUACGUUGCCUCGGCGGAUCAGCCCGCGCCCUGUAAAACGGGACGGCCCGCCCGAGGACCCUAAACUCUGUUUUUAGUGGAACUUCUGAGUAAAACAAACAAAUAAAUCAAAACUUUUAACAACGGAUCU
Molecule: unclassified non-coding RNA, 206 nt
Filed under: soil metagenome
Description: partial contains 5.8S ribosomal RNA, internal transcribed spacer 2, and large subunit ribosomal RNA
Source: RNAcentral